This is a long non-coding RNA of Siniperca chuatsi (mandarin fish), 425 nucleotides long. RefSeq lists it as uncharacterized. The transcript has 3 exons. The record is from RefSeq and is a predicted model, not a curated record. NCBI's taxonomy places the organism in Eukaryota, Metazoa, Chordata, Actinopteri, Centrarchiformes, Sinipercidae.
GUACAAAAAGUACAAGUACAAACAUCCAUCAAAUAUGACAAAUUAGAGGAAACACGACUAAUUCAGUUCUUCAUUUGGGCCAAAAGAACAAAGGAACAAAGAGCGUGACUUGGCUGAGAGGUGUGGGAAGUCUUGAUUCCCGUUCACACAGGAUGCAAAUGAGCUGGCUGAAGACUACAUGGAAAUAUCCAGUUAGCAUCCAUCACACCAGACUCUCACAUACCUGUAUAUGUGUGCAUGUACUACUGUUUUGAUUUGAGCAGUGCUGAGUCAGGAAGUUUAAAUCCCCUGCAAUAAGAGAAUGCAACUUUGAUCUGCUUUGUGUAUUCGUCACAUACCACUGAGGUCAUUGGUUGUUUUUGUGGUGAUUGUGUUUGCGGCUCACUCUCUGUCCUUUCACUUUAAAUGACAGCAUAUUAUGAUGA